GGAGGCAUCGCAUAGUGGCCGAUUGCAACGGGUUGCUAACCCGUACCAGGUUUCUGGUUCGUGGGUUCAAAUCCCACUGCCUCCGC
RNAcentral lists this transfer RNA (86 nucleotides) under Patescibacteria group bacterium. Its description in RNAcentral is "tRNA-Ser". It matches the Rfam family "tRNA". From Rfam's summary of the family: Transfer RNA (tRNA) molecules are approximately 80 nucleotides in length. The record is from RNAcentral.